RNAcentral lists this non-coding RNA (24 nucleotides) under Mus musculus (house mouse). The record is from RNAcentral. Lineage: Eukaryota; Metazoa; Chordata; Mammalia; Rodentia; Muridae.
UGAUGAAUUGUGGUCUCCCAAGAA